AUUGAACGCUAGCGGCAUGCCUUACACAUGCAAGUCGAACGGCAGGCACGGGGGCAACCCUGGUGGCGAGUGGCGAACGGGUGAGUAAUGCAUCGGAACGUGCCCAUCGAUGGGGGAUAACUGCGCGAAAGCGUUGCUAAUACCGCAUACGACCUACGGGUGAAAGCAGGGGACCGCAAGGCCUUGCGUCGAUGGAGCGGCCGAUGCCGGAUUAGCUAGUUGGUGAGGUAAAGGCUCACCAAGGCGACGAUCCGUAGCUGGUCUGAGAGGAUGAUCAGCCACAUUGGGACUGAGACACGGCCCAAACUCCUACGGGAGGCAGCAGUGGGGAAUCUUGGACAAUGGGCGAAAGCCUGAUCCAGCAAUGCCGCGUGUGGGAAGAAGGCCUUCGGGUUGUAAACCACUUUUGGCGGGAAAGAAAUGGUCUGUGCUAAUACCACGGAUUGAUGACGGUACCCGCAGAAUAAGCACCGGCUAACUACGUG
Molecule: ribosomal RNA, 485 nt
Filed under: uncultured bacterium
Lineage: Bacteria
Description: bacterial SSU rRNA
Rfam family: Bacterial small subunit ribosomal RNA
Source: RNAcentral